UGGGGAAUUUUGGACAAUGGGCGAAAGCCUGAUCCAGCAAUGCCGCGUGUGUGAAGAAGGCCUUCGGGUUGUAAAGCACUUUUGUCCGGAAAGAAAUCCUUGGCUCUAAUACAGUCGGGGGGAUGACGGUACCGGAAGAAUAAGCACCGGCUAACUACGUGCCAGCAGCCGCGGUAAUACGUAGGGUGCAAGCGUUAAUCGGAAUUACUGGGCGUAAAGCGUGCGCAGGCGGUUUGCUAAGACCGAUGUGAAAUCCCCGGGCUCAACCUGGGAACUGCAUUGGUGACUGGCAGGCUAGAGUAUGGCAGAGGGGGGUAGAAUUCCACGUGUANCAGUGAAAUGCGUAGAGAUGUGGAGGAAUACCGAUGGCGAAGGCAGCCCCCUGGGCCAAUACUGACGCUCAUGCACGAAAGCGUGGGGGAGCAAAACAGGAUUAGAUACCCUGGUAGUCCACGCCCUAAACGAUGUCAACUAGUUGUUGGGGACUUCAUUUCCUUAGUAACGUAGCUAACGCGUGAAGUUGACCGCCUGGGGAGUACGGUCGCAAGAUUAAAACUCAAAUGAAUUGACGGGGUCAUAGCUG
RNAcentral lists this ribosomal RNA (583 nucleotides) under uncultured bacterium. RNAcentral's name for it is "partial 16S ribosomal RNA". It matches the Rfam family "Bacterial small subunit ribosomal RNA", at positions 355 to 932 of the family's 1533-position model. The record is from RNAcentral.